AAGUCGAGCGAACUGACGAGGAGCUUGCUCCUGUUGACGUUAGCGGCGGACGGGUGAGUAACACGUGGGUAACCUACCUAUAAGACUGGAAUAACUCCGGGAAACCGGGGCUAAUGCCGGAUAACAUAUCGAACCGCAUGGUUCGAUAGUGAAAGACGGUCUUGCUGUCACUUAUAGAUGGACCCGCGCCGUAUUAGCUAGUUGGUGAGGUAACGGCUCACCAAGGCAACGAUACGUAGCCGACCUGAGAGGGUGAUCGGCCACACUGGAACUGAGACACGGUCCAGACUCCUACGGGAGGCAGCAGUAGGGAAUCUUCCGCAAUGGGCGAAAGCCUGACGGAGCAACGCCGCGUGAGUGAUGAAGGUCUUCGGAUCGUAAAGCUCUGUUGUUAGGGAAGAACAAAUGUGUAAGUAACUGUGCACAUCUUGACGGUACCUAACCAGAAAGCCACGGCUAACUACGUGCCAGCAGCCGCGGUAAUACGUAGGUGGCAAGCGUUAUCCGGAAUUAUUGGGCGUAAAGCGCGCGUAGGCGGUUUUUUAAGUCUGAUGUGAAAGCCCACGGCUCAACCGUGGAGGGUCAUUGGAAACUGGAAAACUUGAGUGCAGAAGAGGAAAGUGGAAUUCCAUGUGUAGCGGUGAAAUGCGCAGAGAGAUGGAGGAACACCAGUGGCGAAAGGCGGCUUUCUGGUCUGUAACUGACGCUGAUGUGCGAAAGCGUGGAGAUCAAACAGGAUUAGAUACCCUGGUAGUCCACGCCGUAAACGAUGA
Molecule: ribosomal RNA, 773 nt
Filed under: Staphylococcus chromogenes
Lineage: Bacteria; Bacillati; Bacillota; Bacilli; Caryophanales; Staphylococcaceae
Description: bacterial SSU rRNA
Rfam family: Bacterial small subunit ribosomal RNA
Source: RNAcentral